AAUAGAUACCCCGGUAGUCCACGCCGUAAACGAUGAGUGCUAAGUGUUAGAGGGUUUCCGCCCUUUAGUGCUGCAGCUAACGCAUUAAGCACUCCGCCUGGGGAGUACGGUCGCAAGACUGAAACUCAAAGGAAUUGACGGGGGCCCGCACAAGCGGUGGAGCAUGUGGUUUAAUUCGAAGCAACGCGAAGAACCUUACCAGGUCUUGACAUCCUCUGACAACUCUAGAGAUAGAGCGUUCCCCUUCGGGGGACAGAGUGACAGGUGGUGCAUGGUUGUCGUCAGCUCGUGUCGUGAGAUGUUGGGUUAAGUCCCGCAACGAGCGCAACCCUUGAUCUUAGUUGCCAGCAUUUAGUUGGGCACGUCUAAGGUGACUGCCGGUGACAAACCGGAGGAAGUGGGGAUGACGUCAAAUCAUCAUGCCCCUUAUGACCUGGGCUACACACGUGCUACAAUGGAUGGUACAAAGGGCUGCAAGACCGCGAGGUCAAGCCAAUCCCAUAAAACCGAUUCUCAGUUCGGAUUGUAGG
RNAcentral lists this ribosomal RNA (530 nucleotides) under uncultured bacterium. RNAcentral describes it as "bacterial SSU rRNA". It matches the Rfam family "Bacterial small subunit ribosomal RNA", at positions 777 to 1304 of the family's 1533-position model. The record is from RNAcentral.